UACAUGUUCUAAAUGACUUGGACAAGUGUUUGAGUAAGUUAGAGAGUGAUUGGAGGGUUAAAAGUGAGAAAUUGCAUUGAUCUGGCGAAAAUCAGGGUUUUCUGCUUGCUGUACCGGUACAGCCAUCACCUUGUACCGGUACAGCAUUGGCAGAUUCGUGGCAGCAGGGCUGUUUUGGUAAUUUCACACUUGAUCCCUAUCUAUUAGACCCCAGCUCGACCUGGGAUGUUCAGAUAUGCAUGUUUGAGCUCAGAGAAGUGCUCUUCCUUCUCUCUUUCUCUCUCUCUCUAGGGUUUCUCUCUCUCUACGAAGAAAUCGUCGAUUUCGCUCGUUUUCGUCGCCGCGCUUAUUCCUCGCUGUUUGCAAGCGUCGCAGAGCCCUUAUGGACGUGUGAGGGAGUGUUUUGGACGGGUUUUCGCAGCCCUGGACCAGCAGGUCAUUGGUUGGAAGCUUGAGAAGGAAUUACCUCUUCGCAGCAGGUCUUCGAGCCUUGUUCAGCUGAACUUGUACACUGUGAAGUUGGUUUGGAAGCUAUUCUACCCUGAGCGAGAGUGCGAUCGAGCC
Ananas comosus (pineapple) is the source of this 564-nucleotide long non-coding RNA. RefSeq lists it as uncharacterized. The record is from RefSeq and is a predicted model, not a curated record. Lineage: Eukaryota; Viridiplantae; Streptophyta; Magnoliopsida; Poales; Bromeliaceae. The transcript has 3 exons.